This is a long non-coding RNA of Gekko japonicus, 276 nucleotides long. RefSeq lists it as uncharacterized. The transcript has 3 exons. NCBI's taxonomy places the organism in Eukaryota, Metazoa, Chordata, Lepidosauria, Squamata, Gekkonidae. The record is from RefSeq and is a predicted model, not a curated record.
UAUUUGCGAGCUGUGGCAUUGAGGUUCCAAGGUAUGUUCCAAGACUGUAAUCUACUGGAUGAUGAAGUCAGUGGUGUCAGUGGUUUCAGCGGCAGCAUAAUAGACUGUGGUCCAGAGACUCCUGACACUAUUCCUUAUAAUGCCUCCAGCUGCAUCUGUGAAAAAGGAUAUAGGAUGGUGACCUUUGUGGGAAUCAAUGAGUGUAUUUGUGAAAAAAUUCCCCACCACUGCCAACCAGAUAUAGUGAGAGAAAAUGACAAUGUAAUGAAGUGUUUA